AAUCCGUGAUGUGGAUAGCAUCUCAAAAGAUCCUUAAACCUCUCCCGUACAUGCUCUCAUCAUCAAACUGCACAAAAUAAGAUAUGUCAUUUCUAAGCUU
Molecule: small nucleolar RNA, 100 nt
Filed under: Ricinus communis (castor bean)
Lineage: Eukaryota; Viridiplantae; Streptophyta; Magnoliopsida; Malpighiales; Euphorbiaceae
Description: Plant small nucleolar RNA R71
Rfam family: Plant small nucleolar RNA R71
About the family: R71 is a member of the C/D box family of snoRNAs containing the C (UGAUGA) and D (CUGA) box motifs. Multiple nearly identical copies of this snoRNA have been identified in Arabidopsis, and it is thought to function as a 2'-O-ribose methylation guide for 18S ribosomal RNA.
Source: Rfam by way of RNAcentral